GACGAACGCUGGCGGCGUGCUUAACACAUGCAAGUCGAACGGAAAGGCCCUGCUUUUGUGGGGUGCUCGAGUGGCGAACGGGUGAGUAACACGUGAGUAACCUGCCCUUGACUUUGGGAUAACUUCAGGAAACUGGGGCUAAUACCGGAUAGGAGCUCCUGCUGCAUGGUGGGGGUUGGAAAGUUUCGGCGGUUGGGGAUGGACUCGCGGCUUAUCAGCUUGUUGGUGGGGUAGUGGCUUACCAAGGCUUUGACGGGUAGCCGGCCUGAGAGGGUGACCGGCCACAUUGGGACUGAGAUACGGCCCAGACUCCUACGGGAGGGAGCAGUGGGGAAUAUUGCACAAUGGGCGGAAGCCUGAUGCAGCAACGCCGCGUGCGGGAUGACGGCCUUCGGGUUGUAAACCGCUUUCGCCUGUGACGAAGCGUGAGUGACGGUAAUGGGUAAAGAAGCACCGGCUAACUACGU
RNAcentral lists this ribosomal RNA (467 nucleotides) under uncultured bacterium. Its description in RNAcentral is "partial 16S ribosomal RNA". It matches the Rfam family "Bacterial small subunit ribosomal RNA", at positions 28 to 506 of the family's 1533-position model. The record is from RNAcentral.